UCCACAACUCCGACGAACUUAAGACGA
RNAcentral lists this small nuclear RNA (27 nucleotides) under Arabidopsis thaliana (thale cress). RNAcentral's name for it is "snRNA_12450". The record is from RNAcentral. Lineage: Eukaryota; Viridiplantae; Streptophyta; Magnoliopsida; Brassicales; Brassicaceae.